AUAAAUAGGAGAUGGUGUCUUCAUUAUCAUCACCAUAUACUCAAGCUCAAAGCCUCAAAUCCUCUCUAAAAAGCUCUUUUUGCAAAAUUCAAGCUUUCUCUCUUCUAUCAAUAUGUCGAGAAGAACCCGUUCAAAUAGGGAAGGUGCUUCCACCUCUGCUCUUCCUCCCUCCGGAUAUCAUCCAUAUCAAGAUGGUGAUGUUUUGGUCUUCAAAAGCGAAAAUAAAUUAAAUCGCUUUCUUACUA
RNAcentral lists this long non-coding RNA (245 nucleotides) under Nicotiana benthamiana. RNAcentral's name for it is "long non-coding RNA (NBEN_LNC011882)". Lineage: Eukaryota; Viridiplantae; Streptophyta; Magnoliopsida; Solanales; Solanaceae. The record is from RNAcentral.